Molecule: long non-coding RNA, 214 nt
Filed under: Elaeis guineensis (African oil palm)
Lineage: Eukaryota; Viridiplantae; Streptophyta; Magnoliopsida; Arecales; Arecaceae
Description: long non-coding RNA (EGUI_LNC072822)
Source: RNAcentral
UGUCGGUUCAUCUCCUAGAGUCUCCGAUCCAGAAAAUCCUCUCGACUCUGGGUCUCGAGGGUCCUCUAGCAGAAUGGGGGCAGGGAUCUUCCAGGGGUGGAGUCAUGAUCCGAUUGAGGGCUCUCCACCCUCGGGUUCGUCUUCCCGGGAAAGACGAGGCGGCUGGCCCAAGUGGCCCACCCCACUGCCAGAUUCUGGCAUUCCGGUGACACCC